AAUCAACGCUGGCGGCGUGCCUAACACAUGCAAGUCGAACGAGAAGGUGACUUCGGUCACUGGAUAGUGGCGUCCGGGUGAGUAACACGUAGGUAAUCUACCUUCGGGUGGGGAAUAACGUCUCGAAAGAGACGCUAAUACCGCAUAAUGCAGCGGCACCUAAUGGUGAUUAGUUGUUAAAGCGGGGGAGUCUUCGGACCUCGCGCCUGAAGAGGAGCCUGCGGCAGAUUAGCUAGUUGGUGAGGUAAUGGCUCACCAAGGCUUCGAUCUGUAGCUGGUCUGAGAGGACGGCCAGCCACACUGGCACUGACACACGGGCCAGACUCCUACGGGAGGCAGCAGUGGGGAAUUUUGGGCAAUGGGCGAAAGCCUGACCCAGCAACGCCGCGUGAAGGAGGAAAUCCUUCGGAUNUAAACUUACAUAAGUAAGGGAAGAAAGCUGCGGAUCGAAUAAAGUCCGCAGUCCGACGGUACCUUACGUAAGCCACGGCUAACUACGUG
This 501-nucleotide ribosomal RNA is filed under the name uncultured bacterium. RNAcentral's name for it is "bacterial SSU rRNA". It matches the Rfam family "Bacterial small subunit ribosomal RNA", at positions 32 to 507 of the family's 1533-position model. The record is from RNAcentral.